MicroRNA precursor from Oryza rufipogon (brownbeard rice), 168 nucleotides. It matches the Rfam family "MIR812 microRNA precursor family". NCBI's taxonomy places the organism in Eukaryota, Viridiplantae, Streptophyta, Magnoliopsida, Poales, Poaceae. The record is from Rfam.
AAUAAGUACAGUUUUACAUUAUUCACGUUCAACAUUUAACCAUUCAUCUUAUUUAAAUUUUUUUAUGAUUAGUACUUUUAUUGCUAAAUAUUUUCAAAUUUUUCACAAUUUUUUUAAAUAAGACGGACGGUCAAAUAUUGGACACGGAUAUCUACGGCUGUACUUAUU